This 389-nucleotide ribosomal RNA is filed under the name uncultured Roseburia sp. RNAcentral's name for it is "bacterial SSU rRNA". It matches the Rfam family "Bacterial small subunit ribosomal RNA", at positions 355 to 758 of the family's 1533-position model. The record is from RNAcentral. Lineage: Bacteria; Bacillati; Bacillota; Clostridia; Lachnospirales; Lachnospiraceae.
UGGGGAAUAUUGCACAAUGGGGGGAAACCCGUGAUGCAGCGACGCCGCGUGAGCGAUGAAGUAUUUCGGUAUGUAAAGCUCUAUCAGCAGGGAAGAAAAAUGACGGUACCUGGCUAAGAAGCACCGGCUAAAUACGUGCCAGCAGCCGCGGUAAUACGUAUGGUGCAAGCGUUAUCCGGAUUUACUGGGUGUAAAGGGAGCGCAGGCGGCGCGGCAAGUCUGAUGUGAAAGCCCGGGGCUCAACCCCGGUACUGCAUUGGAAACUGUCGUGCUAGAGUGUCGGAGGGGCAAGUGGAAUUCCUAGUGUAGCGGUGAAAUGCGUAGAUAUUAGGAGGAACACCAGUGGCGAAGGCGGCUUACUGGACGAUUACUGACGCUGAGGCUCGAAG